AGUUUGGUGGGAUGCUGGUAACCGUAGGUUGGCGACUGUGGUCUGGAGCGCGAGAGGGUGAAUGACAGUCGCCGCGGCUUCCUGGGCUGCGCCUGCGGCUUCUUCCGUCCCCUGUGCGUCCAGAAGAAGGGAGCCUUGGAAGCGCAGCCCGUCUGAAGGAAGGAGCUCUGCUUAGGAUCCCUUUCCUCCCGCGGGACCUAAAAGAGGGUCCCGCGGGGAGCGGUGCUCCUGUGAGGGAAGAACGGGGACCCCCUCUCCCCCUCCCCCCCACCCAUAUCUCGGCGGGGAAAGGAAAGGACGGCUGGGGCGUCCCGGAGGGUGCAGGAGGCUGCUUUUAUUCGUCCGUUGAACGGAAGCUCACUGUUUUUUUUUCUCUCUCCAAAUUCCCGUUUCCCUCACCAGGGCGAAACGGGGGAGGAGGAGGCUGCAGGCCCCUUGCCUUUCCUUCUCUUCCAUCCUCCCAGGCAAAUAGGACAAUGGUGCAGAAGAGGCCGAAGUAACCGCUUAGGCUGGAAAGAGAACGGCAGUGAGGGCCAGGUGCUGGUUUUGUGUGCGUGUGUGCGUGCGUGCGUUUGUCCCUGAGAAAAGCGAGGGGGGUGAGGAGGUAUUUUGACUUCCCCACUUUCCUUUUGGCGCCUUCCCUUUCUUGCCCACUAAUUCCCUGUCUCUGUCCCCCUUCCCUUCCCCACAUUUGCUUAUCAUCCUCGCUAUCCUCUUCCUCCCCUGGUCCCUGCCAGAUCCGUUAACAGGGUCUCUUUGCUGUGGAAGAUGGCGAAACCAGGGAUGAGCUGGCAACACCACUAUUACAGUGGCAGCUCCUCGACCAACACUGGAAAAUUCAACACCACCUCUUCUUCAGUGACGUCCUCCCAGUUUGGCAUGGAAUACAACCACGAUCUCCAUCUCAAAAUGAGCAAGAAAAUAGCUCAGUUAACCAAGGUAAUAUAUGCUUUGAACACAAAAAAUGAUGAACAUGAAGCUGCUAUGCAAGCUCUCAAGGAUGCUCAUGAAGAAGAAAUUCAACAAAUCCUUGCAGAAACCAGAGAAAAGAUUUUGCAAUAUAAGAGUAAAGUUUCUGAAGAAAUGGAUCUAAAAAGAAAGAUCCAGGUUUUAGAAGAGUCUUUGGAAGAUCACAAAAAGAUGAAGCAUCAAGCCUUAACUGAAUUUGAGGCUUAUAAAGACAGAGUUGAGGAUAUGCAACUCUGUGCAGAAGCUCAGCAUGUCCAACGUGUUGUAACUAUGUCACGUGAAGUGGAAGAAAUUAGAAAGAAAUUUGAGGAAAGAUUACGAAGUUUUAUACAGCUGCAAUUACAGUUUGAGAAGGAUAAACGUUCAGCUCUUGAAGAGCUGAAAGCUGCACAUAGACUUGAGGUCCAAGAACUUAUGAAGGCACAUCAAAAUCAGAAUAUUACUUUAAACAAAGGACAGGAAAAAUUGGAAGAAUCACACAGGCAGGAUGUAGAACAGUUGAAUGCCAAAGUAGAAGAGCUAAGAAUGGAAAGAAAAAAACUCAUUGAGGACUAUGAAUGUAAACUCAGCAAAGCUCAAUCUUUCUAUGAACAUGAGCUUGAUACUAUGAAAAGAUCACAAUUGUUUACAGCUGAAAGCCUGAAAACCUGCAAAGAUAAGGAAGUGGAGCUAAGAAAGGAAUUUCAGAGUCAAGAAUCAGUUAUACGAAAAAAUCUGGGGAAGCUUAAGACUGAGUUGCAGAUGGUUCAGGAUGAAGCAGGCGGUCUACGAGAAAAAUGUCAGAAGCUUCAAGUGGCUCUAAGUACUGCAGAAAACAAUGUACAGGCUCUUCAAAAACAACUAGAUGAUGUCAAAGAGGAGGAAAUGUCAUUGUUAAGCAAACACAAAGAGGUUGAAAUUGAAUUAGCAGCUGCAAGAGAGCGCUUACAACAACAAGCCACAGACCUAGUACUAAAAGCUAGUCACAUUGGAAUGCUUAAAGCUACUCAAAUGACUCAGGAAGUUACAAUAACAGAUUUGGAAUCAGAAAAAUCUAGAUUAAAGGAGAAAUUAUCUCAGCUGGAAGAGGAAAGAAAUGUAUUACACAGUAAAACACAAAGUCUGGAUGAAAGACAAAGGCAGCAAAUUCUUACACUGGAGCAGAGAGUAAAUGAAGCAAGGGAAACACAACGAGAAUAUUAUGAAAAGGAGCUAAUGAAAUUGCAAGCCAGACUGGAAGGGGAGGCUACGCAGCUAAAUGAAGCUCAUUCCAAGGCUUUGGAGGAGUUGGCAUGGAAACAUAAUACUGCUCUUGAAGCAGCACAUAGCAAUGCUAACAAAGAGAAAAAGAAACUGCAAAUGGAGCUUGAGCAGCAAUUUGAGAAAGAGAAACAACAUUUUGAAGAUGAGAAAAAUCAGCUUCGACAGCAGUUGGAAAGCCUGAGGGAAGAGCUAACCACCAAACUGACUUCCUCCAAUCAGGAGAUGGAGCAUCUACAGGAUCUCUUUAAAAAAAGUGAACAGGACCUUAGUAGUGCAGAAGAGCACGUUUCUAGCCUCCAGAAGACCCAAGAAAUAUUGCAGAAAGAAUUAGAACUAACCCAGUCAAAACUGAGAGAAACCACUGAUUCCCUGUAUAACGCUGAGGGGGAGUUAGACCAGGAGAGACAGCACCAUGAAGCAAUGAUUGUAACCAUGAGGGAAGAGGAGAAAUUAAAACUGGAUAGAAUGGCUCGUGAUCUGGAAAUAAAAUGGACAGAAAACCUUCGGCAAGAAUGUACAAAACUCAGAGAAGAAUUGAGACUUCAGCAUGAAGAAGAUAAAAAGUCAGCAAUGACACAACUCUUGCAGCUAAAAGAGAGAGAGAAAAAUGCCACCAGAGAUAGCUGGCAGAAAAAAGUAGAAGAUCUUUUGGAUCAGAUCACUCUGCUAAAGCAAAACCUAGAAAUGCAACUUUCACAGUCUCAGACCACAAUGCAGCAAUUGCAGGCACAGUUUAGCCAAGAGCGACAGAGACUGGCGCAAGAAAUUGAAGAACUGGAGCAAGAGCAUCAACAGAGACAUAAGUCCAUGAAAGAAGCACAUAUCCUGGCAUUUCAGAACUUGGAAGUAACAAAAGGACAAGAGCAAAAGGAGCUUGAGGAACACUUGCAACAGAAGCAUUCAAAGGAACUUCAGGCACUGAAAGAGGCACACAGACAAGCCAUGGAUGCUUUCAAAAUAGAAAUGGAACAAGAAAUGCAGACCCUUCGCUUUGAAUUGGAAGAUGAAGGGAAAGCAAUGCUUGCAUCUUUGCGCUCUGAACUUAAUCAUCAACAUGCUGCAGCAAUUGAUCAGCUAAGGCACAAUCAUCAACAAGAAGUAGCAGCAGCUAAAAUGGAACUUGAAAGAAGCAUAGAACUCAGCAGGCACCAGGAAAAAGAAUUUAUGUGCCGAGUAUCAGAUCUACAGGAUGAACUGAGACAUCGAGACCACCAUAUAUCAGAGUUGGAUAAGGAAACACUUGCUUUGCAUGAGAACAUAAGUGCAUUAACCAAAGAACUGGAGUUCAAAGGGAAGGAAGUUCUACGAAUACGUAGCGAAUCUAACCAGCAAAUUAGGCUACAUGAACAAGAUUUAAGCAAGAAACAUGAGAAAGAAUUGGAUGUCAUGACAGCUGACCACAUCAGAGAGAAACAAAGCAUGCUGGCAGAUUUUAAUAAGACCCAAGAGCUGCUCAAGGAAAUUAAUUCAGCUUUGCAAGUUUCUUUAGAAGAAAUGGAAGAUAAAUAUCAAAACAGGGAAUCAAGGCCAGAAGACCUGCAGCUUAUUGCAGAGAUGAAAGACCUGAUUGCUGAGAGGGAUCAGCUGAUAAAGAAGCUGAUUGAUGACAAAAAAUUCUAUCAACUUGAACUAGUCAAUAGGGAGACUAACUUCAACAAACUGUUUAAUGCAAGUCCUAAUGUUGGUGUUAUUAAUCCUCUAGUAAAGCAAAAGAAGAAGAAUGAUAAAUCAGCAAACAGGUUUGUGAGUGUCCCCAAUCUAAGUGCUUUGGAAUCUAGUGGAGUGGGCAAUGGACAUGCUAACCGCUUGGACCCUAUUCCUAAUUCAUCCAUCCACGAUAUUGAGUUCAACAGCAGCAGACCACUUCCACAGCCAAUACCACCCAAAGAGCCCAAGAUGGUUUUGAGACGCCAUUAACAAGCAUGUGCAUGAAUUCAUGAAUUGUGAUGAUGGAGUUUCCUUUACAAAUUAUUUCGUUCCCUGAUUUGUCCUAUAAACGCCCUCCUCAGACUGAAGCUUCUCCAAUGGCUUCACCAGAUCCACAACGUCAGGAAUGGUUUGCUCGUUACUUCACAUUCUGAAAGAUUAUUUUUGAAUGGCACAGCAUGGUGUGGACUGUACUGUUCCUAAUAGCAUGACCUUAAAAUAAACCCUUAUGUGAAACAAGCUUUCUUGUAAUAUGUUAAACACUGUGAAUGAGAACGUAUUUGUCUCUCUGAUUUGAAAAUGCACUGUAUUUUAUGUGAUACUUGUUGGAAUCACUUGACAUAGUUAUAUAAAUGUGCUUAAUGACACUUAUUUUUAUUUAAAAUUGAAAAGUAUUUAAACUUUGUAAUUACUGCAUAAUAAAAUUUCAUAGAAUAAAUGCAAUCUUUCCUCCACUUUUCCUAUAAGUAUGUAUUUUCUUUGGUUUCAGGGAAGGCUUUCACAUCCCAUUUCUCCCUCAAAUGCAAUUAAUUGCAUGGUUAUUAUAUAUUAAAAUAAAUUGUCAGCAAUUUAAAAAUCAGACUAUGGCAAAGUAUGUUUAAAUCCAUAUAUUUUUAAUUAACUUAGAGAACUGACUUUAAAAAUUGUGGUUUAUUCUAAAAGUGGUGAAGAAUGCUAAAUUAUAAUAGUAUAUAAAGCUGAGUGGUGUUAAGAUUAUAGUAAGAAAAAUGACAUAAAUAUUGUAAUGUUGAAUUUCACCAACUUUUGUCAUAAGUGUUUUAUAAAUACAUACAGAGAUAAUGCUCUUUAGAACAUUUGAGUUAUUACACUAGGUAAUGCUGUAUUAAUAAAGAAUAAUUUAUGGAAAGCUGCAUUUUGAGGAUAUUAUCCUUUGGGCAGAACUCAGGCAUUAAUGAAAAAAUAGUGCUAAACAAACUAAUUAUGCAUAAUAAAGCAUGCAAAUCUUUCAUUAGCGCUCCAGCAUAAAUGUAAACAUUUUUCUCUUCCAUUACAAAAUUAAGCCAAAACCAUGCAACCUUUUUCACCUGGAGAAUGAGCCUGAUUUUCCACUCUAUUACACCUGUCUUACAAUUGUGCAGGUUUUCUGGCAGAAAAGAUGUGAUACACUGGCAGAUCUGGUUUUUAUAUAUUUUGUUGAUACUAUUGCUGUUAUUUCCAAGAUUACCACAAUAAAACUAACACUGGUAAUCUCAGGAAGAAACUUUUCAUUGUUUUAUGAAUGUACUUUUAAGAUCUGAUCUUUGUAUGCAUAAAGGGGGAGUGGGGAGAUUGCUUGGUUAUUUUAAAAACAGUUUUUAUUCUUAGAUACAAAAGUAUAUCUCUUCAUUAUUUCUGCUAAAGCCUGACUGCGUCUUCCCAUUAUGCAAAAGCAUAAUCAAUCAAUGGUAUCACCAAUAGUAUAAUAGUGAGUUUUAUAUGUAGCAUAUGUACAAAAAAUUUCUAUGUUUUCAUAUAAAAUGUUCUAAUCAAACUUUUAAAAUUGUAUCUCCUGUAAACUCAUCCUGAAUGCUUCACUGGAAGCAGUGUUCUAAUGCUCUCCUGCUAAUCUAAAGCGGUAUUUGGCAGAUAUUCUGUGGUCUGUGUAAAGGUACAUGCGGCCUUUGCAUUAGAAGAAAGCCAUAUUAAGUUAAAGUUGGAUUUCUUGGCUGUUACCUAUAAUAAAAUAUACUGGAUAAUUUUGCAAUGAUAAUCUGAAA
Molecule: RNA transcript, 5855 nt
Organism: Candoia aspera
Lineage: Eukaryota; Metazoa; Chordata; Lepidosauria; Squamata; Candoiidae
Gene: FAM184A
Gene name: family with sequence similarity 184 member A
Exons: 19
Source: RefSeq, a predicted model, not a curated record